CUACGGGUCGCACCAGUCGAGAAUCUUCCGCAAUGGACGAAAGUCUGACGGAGCGACGCCGCGUGAUUGAUGAAGCCCCUUUGGGGCGUAAAGAUCUUUUAUGAGGGAAGAAGUUUAUUGACGGUACCUCAUGAAUAAGAGGCUCCUAAUCUCGUGCCAGCAGGAGCGGUAAUACGAGAGCCUCGAGCGUUAUCCGGAAUUAUUGGGCGUAAAGGGUGCGUAGGUUGUUUUAUUAGUCUUUUGUUAAAACCCCAAGCUUAACUUGGGAGGUGCAAAAGAAACGGUAAAACUUGAAAGUGUGAGAGGCGUACGGAACUCAUGGUGUAGGGGUGAAAUCCGUUGAUAUCAUGGGGAACACCAAAAGCGAAGGCAGUACGCUGGCACAUAUUUGACGCUGAGGCACGAAAGCGUGGGUAGCGAAUGGGAUUAGAUACCCUGGUAGUC
This 444-nucleotide ribosomal RNA is filed under the name uncultured bacterium. RNAcentral describes it as "partial 16S ribosomal RNA". It matches the Rfam family "Bacterial small subunit ribosomal RNA", at positions 339 to 795 of the family's 1533-position model. The record is from RNAcentral.